This 467-nucleotide ribosomal RNA is filed under the name uncultured bacterium. Its description in RNAcentral is "partial 16S ribosomal RNA". It matches the Rfam family "Bacterial small subunit ribosomal RNA", at positions 28 to 507 of the family's 1533-position model. The record is from RNAcentral.
GACGAACGCUGGCGGCGUGCUUAACACAUGCAAGUCGAACGGAAAGGCCUCUUUCGGGGGGUACUCGAGUGGCGAACGGGUGAGUAACACGUGAGUAACCUGCCCUUGACUUUGGGAUAACUUCAGGAAACUGGGGCUAAUACCGGAUAGGAGCUCCUGCUGCAUGGUGGGGGUUGGAAAGUUUCGGCGGUUGGGGAUGGACUCGCGGCUUAUCAGCUUGUUGGUGGGGUAGUGGCUUACCAAGGCUUUGACGGGUAGCCGGCCUGAGAGGGUGACCGGCCACAUUGGGACUGAGAUACGGCCCAGACUCCUACGGGAGGCAGCAGUGGGGAAUAUUGCACAAUGGGUGGAAGCCUGAUGCAGCAACGCCGUGUGCGGGAUGAAGGUCUUCGGGUUGUAAACCGCUUUCGCUCAUGACGAAGCUUUGUGUGACAGUAGUGGGUAAAGAAGCACGGGCUAACUACGUG